GAUGAAGAACGUAGCGAAAUGCGAUACGUAAUGUGAAUUGCAGAAAUCAGUGAAUCAUCGAAUCUUUGAACGCAUAUUGCGCUCUCUGGUAUUCCGGAGAGCAUGCUUGUUUGAGUAUCAGUAAACACCUCAACUUCCAUAUCUUUUUUGAAAUGGGAGUUGGACUUGAGUGAUCCCAACGCUUUUCCUCACCGAAAAGUGGCGGGUUACUUGAAAUGCAGGUGCAGCUGGACUUUUCUCUGAGCUAUAAGCAUAUCUAUUUAGUCUGCCUAAAAAACAGAUUAUUACCUUUGCUGCAGCUAACAUAAAGGAGAUUAGUUCUUGUGCUGACUGAUGCAGGAUUCACAAAGACAGGCUUCGGCCGACUUUGUAAACUCGAUCUCAAAUCAAGUAAGACUACCCGCUGAACUUAAGCAUAUCAAUAAGCGGAGGA
This 433-nucleotide unclassified non-coding RNA is filed under the name soil metagenome. RNAcentral describes it as "partial contains 5.8S ribosomal RNA, internal transcribed spacer 2, and large subunit ribosomal RNA". The stretch from base 1 to 120 matches the Rfam family "5.8S ribosomal RNA", at positions 35 to 154 of the family's 154-position model. The record is from RNAcentral.